RNAcentral lists this ribosomal RNA (1108 nucleotides) under Leuconostoc lactis. Its description in RNAcentral is "bacterial SSU rRNA". It matches the Rfam family "Bacterial small subunit ribosomal RNA", at positions 48 to 1140 of the family's 1533-position model. The record is from RNAcentral. Lineage: Bacteria; Bacillati; Bacillota; Bacilli; Lactobacillales; Lactobacillaceae.
GCUGUACUGCAAGUCGAACGCGCAGCGAAAGGUGCUUGCACCUUUCAAGCGAGUGGCGAACGGGUGAGUAACACGUGGAUAACCUGCCUCAAGGCUGGGGAUAACAUUUGGAAACAGAUGCUAAUACCGAAUAAAACUUAGUAUCGCAUGAUACAAAGUUGAAAGGCGCUACGGCGUCACCUAGAGAUGGGUCCGCGGUGCAUUAGUUAGUUGGUGGGGUAAAGGCCUACCAAGACAAUGAUGCAUAGCCGAGUUGAGAGACUGAUCGGCCACAUUGGGACUGAGACACGGCCCAAACUCCUACGGGAGGCUGCAGUAGGGAAUCUUCCACAAUGGGCGAAAGCCUGAUGGAGCAACGCCGCGUGUGUGAUGAAGGCUUUAGGGUCGUAAAGCACUGUUGUAUGGGAAGAAAUGCUAGAAUAGGGAAUGAUUCUAGUUCGACGGUACCAUACCAGAAAGGGACGGCUAAAUACGUGCCAGCAGCCGCGGUAAUACGUAUGUCCCGAGCGUUAUCCGGAUUUAUUGGGCGUAAAGCGAGCGCAGACGGUUGAUUAAGUCUGAUGUGAAAGCCCGGAGCUCAACUCCGGAAUGGCAUUGGAAACUGGUUAACUUGAGUGUUGUAGAGGUAAGUGGAACUCCAUGUGUAGCGGUGGAAUGCGUAGAUAUAUGGAAGAACACCAGUGGCGAAGGCGGCUUACUGGACAACAACUGACGUUGAGGCUCGAAAGUGUGGGUAGCAAACAGGAUUAGAUACCCUGGUAGUCCACACCGUAAACGAUGAAUACUAGGUGUUAGGAGGUUUCCGCCUCUUAGUGCCGAAGCUAACGCAUUAAGUAUUCCGCCUGGGGAGUACGACCGCAAGGUUGAAACUCAAAGGAAUUGACGGGGACCCGCACAAGCGGUGGAGCAUGUGGUUUAAUUCGAAGCAACGCGAAGAACCUUACCAGGUCUUGACAUCCUUUGAAGCUUCUAGAGAUAGAAGUGUUCUCUUCGGAGACAAAGUGACAGGUGGUGCAUGGUCGUCGUCAGCUCGUGUCGUGAGAUGUUGGGUUAAGUCCCGCAACGAGCGCAACCCUUAUUGUUAGUUGCCAGCAUUCAGUUGGGCCUC